RNAcentral lists this ribosomal RNA (877 nucleotides) under Escherichia coli. Its description in RNAcentral is "partial 23S ribosomal RNA". It matches the Rfam family "Bacterial large subunit ribosomal RNA", at positions 313 to 1194 of the family's 2925-position model. Lineage: Bacteria; Pseudomonadati; Pseudomonadota; Gammaproteobacteria; Enterobacterales; Enterobacteriaceae. The record is from RNAcentral.
UGAAUCAGUAUGUGUGUUAGUGGAAGCGUCUGGAAAGGCGCGCGAUACAGGGUGACAGCCCCGUACACAAAAAUGCACAUAUUGUGAGCUCGAUGAGUAGGGCGGGACACGUGGUAUCCUGUCUGAAUAUGGGGGGACCAUCCUCCAAGGCUAAAUACUCCUGACUGACCGAUAGUGAACCAGUACCGUGAGGGAAAGGCGAAAAGAACCCCGGCGAGGGGAGUGAAAAAGAACCUGAAACCGUGUACGUACAAGCAGUGGGAGCACGCUUAGGCGUGUGACUGCGUACCUUUUGUAUAAUGGGUCAGCGACUUAUAUUCUGUAGCAAGGUUAACCGAAUAGGGGAGCCGAAGGGAAACCGAGUCUUAACUGGGCGUUAAGUUGCAGGGUAUAGACCCGAAACCCGGUGAUCUAGCCAUGGGCAGGUUGAAGGUUGGGUAACACUAACUGGAGGACCGAACCGACUAAUGUUGAAAAAUUAGCGGAUGACUUGUGGCUGGGGGUGAAAGGCCAAUCAAACCGGGAGAUAGCUGGUUCUCCCCGAAAGCUAUUUAGGUAGCGCCUCGUGAAUUCAUCUCCGGGGGUAGAGCACUGUUUCGGCAAGGGGGUCAUCCCGACUUACCAACCCGAUGCAAACUGCGAAUACCGGAGAAUGUUAUCACGGGAGACACACGGCGGGUGCUAACGUCCGUCGUGAAGAGGGAAACAACCCAGACCGCCAGCUAAGGUCCCAAAGUCAUGGUUAAGUGGGAAACGAUGUGGGAAGGCCCAGACAGCCAGGAUGUUGGCUUAGAAGCAGCCAUCAUUUAAAGAAAGCGUAAUAGCUCACUGGUCGAGUCGGCCUGCGCGGAAGAUGUAACGGGGCUAAACCAUGCAC